RNAcentral lists this ribosomal RNA (494 nucleotides) under uncultured bacterium. Its description in RNAcentral is "partial 16S ribosomal RNA". It matches the Rfam family "Bacterial small subunit ribosomal RNA", at positions 30 to 507 of the family's 1533-position model. The record is from RNAcentral.
AUUGAACGCUGGCGGCAGGCCUUACACAUGCAAGUCGAACGGCAGCGCAGAAGGAGCUGGCUCUUACGGGUGGCGAGUGGCACACGGGUGUGGUAUACAGCUACGUCUACUGUUUCGUGGGGUAACCACUAGGAAGACUUGCGCUUAUAGCGUAAAUUACCUACGGGAAAACUGAGGGGAUCUUCGUACCUUUAGCGCUUUUUUAGCGCGAGAUGUCGGAUUAGCUAGUUGGGGGGGUAAAGGCCCACCAAGGCGAAGCUCUGUAGCGGGUCUGAGAGGAUGAUCCGCCACACUGGAACUGAGACACGGUCCAGACUCCUACGGGAGGCAGCAGUGGGGAAUUUUGGACAAUGGGCGCAAGCCUGAUCCAGCCAUGCCGCGUGUAUGAAGAAGGCCUUAGGGUUGUAAAGUCCUUUUGUUAGGGAAGAAAAGCAAGAGGUUAAUACCCGCCUGUACUGACGGUACCCAAAGAAUAAGCACCGGCUAACUUCGUG